This 492-nucleotide ribosomal RNA is filed under the name uncultured bacterium. RNAcentral's name for it is "partial 16S ribosomal RNA". It matches the Rfam family "Bacterial small subunit ribosomal RNA", at positions 29 to 507 of the family's 1533-position model. The record is from RNAcentral.
AGUGAACGCUGGCGGUAGGCCUAACACAUGCAAGUCGAACGGCAGCACAGUAAGAGCUUGCUCUUACGGGUGGCGAGUGGCGGACGGGUGAGGAAUACAUCGGAAUCUACUUUUUCGUGGGGGAUAACGUAGGGAAACUUACGCUAAUACCGCAUACGACCUACGGGUGAAAGCAGGGGAUCUUCGGACCUUGCGCGAUUGAAUGAGCCGAUGUCGGAUUAGCUAGUUGGCGGGGUAAAGGCCCACCAAGGCGACGAUCCGUAGCUGGUCUGAGAGGAUGAACAGCCACACUAGAACUGAGACACGGUCCAGACUCCUACGGGAGGCAGCAGUGGGGAAUAUUGGACAAUGGGCGCAAGCCUGAUCCAGCCAUACCGCGUGGGCGAAGAAGGCCUUCGGGUUGUAAAGCCCUUUUGUUGGGAAAGAAAAGCAGCAGGUUAAUACCCCGCUGUUCUGACGGUACCCAAAGAAUAAGCACCGGCUAACUUCGUG